RNAcentral lists this long non-coding RNA (209 nucleotides) under Elaeis guineensis (African oil palm). RNAcentral describes it as "long non-coding RNA (EGUI_LNC000514)". Lineage: Eukaryota; Viridiplantae; Streptophyta; Magnoliopsida; Arecales; Arecaceae. The record is from RNAcentral.
AGGGGUUGGUCGGUGAAAACCACGAUAGCGUGCGUCUGGAAGUAUGGACGGAGCCGCUGUGUUGAAAUAACCAGAGCAAAUAUCAUUUUCUCUGCCUUCGAGUAUCGAGUUUCGGCUUCGUGAAGCACUUUGCUGACCUAAUAUAUUGGUUGGUGAACUCGAUUCUCGUUCUCUCGAACGAGCACCGAGCUAACUGCCUCUGGGGAGGU